UACAAAUUGGUGGGGGUACAGCAGGAGAGGGAAGGCAUUAGUUCCUUCAUCUCAGUAUUUUCAUUUUUUUUGUCACUCGCAAUUGCCCUCAGUCUGUUUUGGAGCCUAACGGCGGGAUUUUCCACUAAUGUCACAGGUUUACACUUCACUGGGAUUUUUUACGGAGUGAGGGAGGGGCGAGGGAAUGAGAGAGAAUGAGAGCAGUUCUCGGGAAUGGAGAGAGAACGGAGUUUUAAGGCUGAUUGUGCCCAUUGGAUUUAACCUUAAUUUUUCAUCGGAACAACAAUCCCACGGAUUUACUGGGACUCGGGGCUCACAACUUUCUGAGGAUUUAUGGAGACUUUGAGGAGCUCCAGCGAGGCCACUGCGAUGAAAAAGUGAGAGGAGAGUUAUUGUUAAACCGUUGUUUACUUACGUAUUCAACUUUUCCACUACAAAUAUAUUUUUUCUACUGGGUAAUUUUUUUUUCAUGUAUGCGAGAAUUCGAGAGUGCCCUCUUGUUUCCACUGAACUCCACUGGGGGAUGCGCAGGGGCUAUACGCAAGUGAUUGGGAGAGGUUGCACAGCGCUUCCGGGGCAGGCCGGAAAUCGAGGGCUGGCGGGAUUUUUAAAUUCACGAGACAGAUUUUGAGUGCAGCUUGUGAGUGCAAGCGUCAAGGAAGGCAAUGAGGACAGUCAAUUGUUUUAGUGAUUUAAAAUUUUUAUUUAUUAUUCAAUGGAUUAUGUUAAUUUUUUGGCAGAGUCUCCAUUUGUUAAUGCGCAUAGUCAUUUAAUGUUCACAAUAACUCCCUAAGCAUUUUCUGUUAUUUCCGAAGGUCCAACUUUUUUUGAAAUGUGAAAAUUCAUAUAUUUCAUCGCUCCACAUAGCUCUGAUAUCACAUGUAUAAUCAAAUAAAUAUAAAAAUCACGAGUA
Diachasmimorpha longicaudata is the source of this 913-nucleotide long non-coding RNA. RefSeq lists it as uncharacterized. The transcript is spliced from 2 exons. The record is from RefSeq and is a predicted model, not a curated record. NCBI's taxonomy places the organism in Eukaryota, Metazoa, Arthropoda, Insecta, Hymenoptera, Braconidae.